CCUACGGGAGGCAGCAGUGAGGAAUAUUGGUCAAUGGGCGCUAGCCUGAACCAGCCAAGUAGCGUGAAGGAUGACUGCCCUAUGGGUUGUAAACUUCUGUUAUAGGGGAAUAAAGUGCAGUAGGUAUACGGCUUUGCAUGUACCUUAUGAAUAAGGAUAGGCUAACUCCGUGCCAGCAGACGCGGUAAUACGGAGGAUCCGAGCGUUAUCCGGAUUUAUUGGGUUUAAAGGGAGCGUAGGCGGGUUGUUAAGGCAGUUGUGAAAGUUUGCGGCUCAACCGUAAAAUUGCAGUUGAUACUGGCAUCCUUGAGUACAGUAUCGGUAGGCGGUCUUCGUGGUGUAGCGGUUACAUGCUUAGAUAUCCC
This 365-nucleotide ribosomal RNA is filed under the name uncultured bacterium. Its description in RNAcentral is "partial 16S ribosomal RNA". It matches the Rfam family "Bacterial small subunit ribosomal RNA", at positions 338 to 700 of the family's 1533-position model. The record is from RNAcentral.